Non-coding RNA from Aegilops tauschii subsp. strangulata, 3114 nucleotides. The record is from RefSeq and is a predicted model, not a curated record. NCBI's taxonomy places the organism in Eukaryota, Viridiplantae, Streptophyta, Magnoliopsida, Poales, Poaceae.
AGAUGCCAUCCUCUCAUUCGGGCUGCAUCCCCACGUCUCGUGUUGCCCUCUCUCCUCCCCAUUGCUCUUGUUUUCCCCCUGAUUUCUCUUUUCUAUUUUCCCCUUUGUGGUUUGACUAGGCGGUUUAUAGGGUCAUCCAAUUUUUAUUUGCAGGUGCUAAUCUUGCUGCAAGUUGUUGGCUGGGUCUCUUUCUCCCUAGGGAAGGCAUAGUAGACCUCGGGUAAAUCAAGGAUCUCGCGGUGGCUAUAGCGAUGCCCCUAUCAUCUCAUCCCUCUUUCUAUGUGCUUCUCUCCAUGGACAGCAUCGCCAUGGCCAGAUCGAUGGUUAAAGCCGUAGCAUUUUCCCUUGAUUAAGUUCAGAAGAUGGCGCUCGUUGCCAGCGGGAUCUCGAGGAACAUGUGACCUCCAUGGUGUUCACUGCCAGACGGUUUGGCAAGGAGGGGUAGCUUAUGCGGCGAUCUUUCUUGGGGAACCCUGGGCAACCGUCAUUCAGGUCUCCUACUAAAGCUCCUCCUCGCCACACGCCAUGUCUUCCACCCUGACAUAUUUCUUGCUCUUCUGGGCUUGUGGAAGUGGCCACUUAUGGAGGUUGAUUGAUUUGGUUGGUUCGAUAGGAUCCCAACCUGAGGAGAAUAAUGGUUUGGAGAUGGCUAGCGGUCUGUGGGGCAUCGACCAGACUGGCAGCGACCCCGAUGGAGGGGAAGGGCUCGACAGGCGCUUCCAGGCAGGAGAGGCUUGGGGGCCUCGUGGAUUGGGGAGAUGGCGGCCACCCGGGUUUCUUCGAUCGAUCUGCGAUCUGGACAGGGCCACGGCAACGCGAGCGUGGGGCGUAGGCGAGCGACCCUCUGCAGCCACGCGUUGACAGUUACCUGUCGAGACUAUAAGAAGAAUUUUGAGGAAGAAUUUGAUCAAGAAGACCAAGAAAGAUGGUUUGCUUUGGAGAGGAAUUAGAUGAGGCCCAUGAGUCCUAAAGAUAAUACAAUCAAUCCAACUGUUAACUUUGGUGUGCUUUUUGGACGGACUAAUAUGAAGACGCUGGCUAGCUCGCAUUGCCAUCAUAUAGUCUAGAAGCAAGGGCAAGGAUUAUAGGGAAAAUAAAGGUACAAUGCUCCAAAUAUAUUUUACCUUCUCGGCGAAGUUUUGGUGCUUGCGCAAGAAAAUAACACCAUCAAUAUACCUACUGCUCAUUUUUUAUUUAGGCAAUUAGCCAUCCGUAGGAAAAGCCAACUAAUUGUACUUUCUCUAUUGCAGAGGUGAAAUUACUACUACUUUUCGAAAGUUUUUUUUAUGCAUGUUCCCCUUUCUUAAUCUUCUAUUUUUUCAAAUGUACAUACCUAUGCUUAUAAUCAUUAUUACACUUGGUUCUACUGCAAGAGCAUACUUUAUCUUUCCAUUUCCAUCAAUCCAUCUUGAUGUGUGAUCGGGUUGUUGUGUGAUGCUGUUAGCUAUUGAUAUGGUGUCUGCUUAUGUCUGUUCAUAAGUACACCCUUUGCCUAUUGUUCGGUUGAGACAUAUAGCAAGCACAAGAAAAAUCUGCUAAUGAGUCCUUAGCUAGCUUUUGAUAUUUUAGUCCUCUGGCCUUGUUCACACAUAGCUCCAAAAUUAGGGAACUAGAAAUAACUGAUUCUUGUCCCCAAAAAACAGCUAGGUGAUUUUCAUAGACCUUCUGACCUUCAUUAUUAUAUGCUUUUGCAUUUGUUGCAUUCGUUCUUUCAGGUUGUUUCAUUAUUUUUCCAUGUUGGCUUUAGGAUGCCCAGUGUAUUUCAGCUCAUAUGUACAUGUAUUGUGUAUGGUUUAUUUGUCCUAUCUGCCGGUGUCUGAGCAUGACAAGCAGCAAAGAGGGAGGGGGAUUUUUCAAGUACAAAGCAAAAUGUGCACAAAAUAGAUGCAGCUCACAAUGUCAUAGCAUAGAGUGGAAAAAAUAUACAUUGUACAUAUAUCAUAAAUACUAUUAUCCAGUGCUCACGAUUUAUGUUCACAUAGAUACAUGGUAACAACAACAUCCCUGGUUUUGUGGAUAAUGACUACUCCAGUGCCACAACUGUAGAAUACACUAGACUGGUCAAAAGUGCUCCAUUGCCUCAAUUGUAGAAUACACCGGACUGGCCAAAAGUUGUCCAUAGCCACAACUGUAGAAUACAUGUCGCAGUUUGACCUUCAUACUCUCAAUUUGAAGCUUCAGCUCAUCCUGUUUAGCCAAAAAAUAUCAUAAAUUGCACAUUCAUUUGGGUAAACAUGUUGGCUUUCAUGUAGUGAUAUUUUGCUUUGGCAGUGUGCAUCGUAUGAUGCUGAGGCCUAGAGAUGAACCCUUCCAUCAUCUUAAAAGAAAAAAAAGUUUGUACCCAAUAGAAUGAAAUAUUUUUGCCCAGGGUGAAACAACUACCUGGGCAUGAGAAUGCCUAAGGUCUCUUGCAGUUUCUGAAACUGCUGCCUGCAGAUCAGAGAUAUCUCGGAAGCUAUCUCCCCGGAAGCUCCUGUAAACUGAAUCCCCACUGCUGCUGCUACUGAGUUGCGCUACUGUGUGACUGGUUGUGAAUUUGUCUUCAGGGUUGUAUCAGCAUGGUAAGAGAUCUCGCUGCCAGCACUGCCUAAAGGGCUAGCUUCAGGAUUGACCUAUUUAUAUUUACGAGUGUGUGAUCACAUUGCGAUGGCAGAGAUGACUGGCGGAAUAAUACAGUUGAUGUUCCAUUUCUGUCAGCCCACUCUGCUGUAGACAGAAUAGUUAGUAACACUCUAAUACACUUUUUUGUUUGUAUUCAGUUGAUAGGUGUAAUCAACAAUUUUCAGAAAACAAAAUCAAAUGCAGACUUGAGUAUUACUUGAGGGCGCACUGGAAAGGCUUCCAGAGCUAGGAGAAGAAACGGUUGAAGAAGAUAUGGUCUUGGGUGUUUCACAGGCAUCAGGUGUAAGAGUGCACGAAUGACAGUUUGCCCUUUGAAACGACGUACGCCGUACAGAAGCUUGGAAUGCAUUCAGAGAUUUUUGUUGAAGUCUUGCUUCCUUUGAGCUUCCUGCAAAAAAUCAACAAUGGUAACCACACGAUUAAGAUUGCACUAGGCAUUUCUUAUCCUAUACUCUACUGGGUUUUAUUCUUUAUAAAAAUUGUUCAGCUAAA